Molecule: long non-coding RNA, 520 nt
Filed under: Dromaius novaehollandiae (emu)
Lineage: Eukaryota; Metazoa; Chordata; Aves; Casuariiformes; Dromaiidae
Description: lncRNA (ENSDNVG00000017920.1)
Source: RNAcentral
CGGCGGGAGGGGCCGCGUAGGCGGGCGGGGCUCUGCCCGGAGCCAGCGCAGCCCAUGCGCAGAGGAGUCUGGCUUUCUGCGGUCAAAGGCAUGACUCUGCAUUGCCUCCUACUGUAUGCGUAGAAAAAGUCGGAGAGAGUUAUUUGUUAAUGUUCAUUCCAUGUCUUUGGAAUUGCUCGUGCCUGCAGGGAGCACCGCCAAGCAGUGAAAAGUGCUGUAUUACAAUCUGAAAAAUCAGGCUGGAAUGACAGAAAAUCACAGCUGAAAGAACUGAAUUGUCCAACGGUGCAUCAAUGCAGACAAUUGGAGAACUCCAUCUACAUUUAGGGAUGGAUGUUUUCCACUCUGAACUUUCAAAGCAUAUCUCUCUGUAUCAGGACAGUGGAGGUCUCCUAACAUUCAACGUGCUACCUCAGGACUCUGAAUACAUCUCCCUGUAUUGCCUCAGCAAGGGCCUAUCCCUUCCCUUGGGAGGUGCUUUUACACUGUGGUUCUCAGCUUUGGCCUCCGCCUGAUCUAC